This 24-nucleotide unclassified non-coding RNA is filed under the name Mus musculus (house mouse). Its description in RNAcentral is "oocyte_clustered_small_RNA10734". The record is from RNAcentral. Lineage: Eukaryota; Metazoa; Chordata; Mammalia; Rodentia; Muridae.
CUGGAGGCUGGAGUCUCAGGUCUG